CCGCAUGGUUCGAAAUUGAAAGAUGGUUUCGGCUAUCACUUACAGAUGGACCCGCGGCGCAUUAGCUAGUUGGUGAGGUAACGGCUCACCAAGGCAACGAUGCGUAGCCGACCUGAGAGGGUGAUCGGCCACACUGGGACUGAGACACGGCCCAGACUCCUACGGGAGGCAGCAGUAGGGAAUCUUCCGCAAUGGACGAAAGUCUGACGGAGCAACGCCGCGUGAACGAUGAAGGCCUUCGGGUCGUAAAGUUCUGUUGUUAGGGAAGAACAAGUACCAGAGUAACUGCUGGUACCUUGACGGUACCUAACCAGAAAGCCACGGCUAACUACGUGCCAGCAGCCGCGGUAAUACGUAGGUGGCAAGCG
Molecule: ribosomal RNA, 368 nt
Filed under: bacterium
Lineage: Bacteria
Description: bacterial SSU rRNA
Rfam family: Bacterial small subunit ribosomal RNA
Source: RNAcentral